GUACUGUGUACUGAAGCCUUGCUAAGUCCAGAAACUGUGGAUUUGGGACAUUUACCCUCACUAUGAUCUUUUUCCCACCUCAGGCCUCAGUAUGUAGAAGAUCUUUGGUUGAGUCUCAAUUUGGAGAUGGAAAGUCAGCACUGUCCUGGAAAAUGCCUUUUUCCAGAAGCUUUCUGCCUUACAAACAAGGGCCAAAUGUUUGAGGAUGUCCUUUGAAAUGUUCUGAUGAAGAUCUCCACAGCUGAACUUUGAAAAUAAAAGUUACUAUAACAAUUGAAGAUAAAUUUAG
This is a long non-coding RNA of Lonchura striata (white-rumped munia), 289 nucleotides long. NCBI's taxonomy places the organism in Eukaryota, Metazoa, Chordata, Aves, Passeriformes, Estrildidae. The record is from Ensembl.